CCCCCGACGACGGCCCAGGUGGCCACGCCGGUCAGCGCGGCGGAGGCGACGGGGGAGCGGCGCACGGCCCGUUCGGCGACGAGUCCGGCGGCC
This 93-nucleotide transfer RNA is filed under the name Streptomyces sp. 1-11. RNAcentral describes it as "tRNA-Leu". The record is from RNAcentral. Lineage: Bacteria; Bacillati; Actinomycetota; Actinomycetes; Kitasatosporales; Streptomycetaceae.